Molecule: non-coding RNA, 257 nt
Organism: Legionella jordanis
Lineage: Bacteria; Pseudomonadati; Pseudomonadota; Gammaproteobacteria; Legionellales; Legionellaceae
Source: Rfam
AGAUAACCCUGCCUGGUUAAAAAUCAGAGACCAGUAACUUGAAUAGCAGCGUUUAAGGUGACUGAGACGUUGAAGCCUAUUAACAAAGCCUUGUAUAAGCAAGGUGAGUGAGCGGCCAGGCCGUAAUGCAAAUGAACACAAAGUAGCCUCGAGAAGACGUAGAUCCGAAAGCUGAACCAUUGGGGUUCCGGUGAAAGCAACAUGGAUUAGUGAACACUGAUUGAUACGCUAAUUCAUUUCGGCGGGGUGAUAGUGAC